This 4000-nucleotide unclassified non-coding RNA is filed under the name Melitaea cinxia (Glanville fritillary). Its description in RNAcentral is "misc RNA ENSMCXG00005003621.1". The record is from RNAcentral. Lineage: Eukaryota; Metazoa; Arthropoda; Insecta; Lepidoptera; Nymphalidae.
UUAUUAUUUAUAUUUUUUUUUUUUUUUUUUUUUUUUUUUGGAGUUUAUGGCCUGGUAUCUAGACCUUUAAGCCAAGUCUUGAGUAUUUUUAUUCGAUUUAUUAUAAUUUCCUCACUGUAUUUUUGAUGAAUUUAUAUAGAGGUACGUAAUAAGAUCUAUUUUUUAGCAUAUCACUCAGGCGGCGGGAGGGAUCUUGCACUGUCACUUGAUUUUGCACUAUGUCACUAAUUUCACUGACAAGAAUCAAUCUAUCUAACGAAAAGCGCUCACAUGUAAAUAUGAAAUGUUCGAUAUCACCAACUGAAUUAUUACAAAAGGUGCAGUAGCUACUCUCCACUAUGCCCAACCGAGCCAGGUGGGCCGGGACAGUGGAGUGACCAAAACGCAGUCUGUUUAUAGUCGUAAUAAAGUCCCGACUGGCCAUUUUCAGUUUGUAAUACCAUGGUGCUACAGGUAGAUUUACUUGAACAUUUCCAUACCAUUUACCCUUCUGUUCUUGAUCUUGUUUCCAAAAUUCGACCCAUAAGCUAUUGACAUGAUUGUCAAUAGAUUGAUAACAGUCGGUCAAAGGUACUUUUACUAUGGAACUAACGUCCAACAUGUUGAUUCCAUCACGUGCAAUUUCAUCUACUAUCUCAUUUCCUGUUAUGCCCCUAUGUGAUGGAAUCCACAUGAAAGAGACCUGUAUACCCUUUUGUGCAUAACUAAAUAACAAUUUUUUAAUAUUAUACAAAAUAUAGUUUUUUUUAAAGUCGAAUCUGAGAUUGGUUAAACUUUGGACCAUACUUAAACUGUCUGUUAAAAUUAAAAAAUUGUUAGAACUAUUUAUACGUGUGAUCCUCUUCAGGGCCUCGAGGGCCGCAUAUACCUCUGCAGUGAAAACACUGCAUUUGGGGUCCAGAAGAAAACUUUGACCAAACUUGGAUUGGGGAUCAUAAACAGCACUACGCACAAAGAACUCACUUUUGCUACCAUCUGUAUACAAAGUAUAGUAGUUAUUGUCGGAAAGAAAACUUAAUAGUUCACAAUUAUUAAAAAUUUUUUUAGUUACAAUAUUAGUUUCAAAUAUAAUACAGGAAUAUGGGUAUGAGUAGCAUGUCCACUUUAAUUGUUUAAUUACAUUUUUAAAAUCUUCAUUCAUUUGCAUUACAAUGAGAGGCAGAACUGGGAAAUAACCUCGUAAGAGCUCACCUCCCGAAAUCUGCUGGACCGGGCAUUGUACAGGAAAAGAUCUGACAAGAGAGAGAUGAAGCUGUCAGCACAACUUCGCCCUCUCCGGAAGCCAUAUUGAACAUGUGGAAUGAUGUUGUUUGCCUCUACAUAAUACUCAAGACGCAUUUUUAUCAUGUUUUCAUUAAGCUUUCCAACACAAGAUGACAAUGAUAUAGGACGAUAUGAGUUAGGAUCUUCAGGUGGCUUGUCAAGCUUAAGUAUAGGGAUUACACACUGUGUUUUCCAAGAUUCAGGAAUUUUGUUUAAGUGCCAAAGAGCGUUAAGAUUAGCUAAUAGUUUCUUUUGAACGGACUGAUUUAGGUUUUUAAUCAAAAUGUAUGGACAAUCAUCUAAACCAGGGGUUGUGUUUCGUCUGGAUUGUAAACUUGUACAAAACUCACUCCAAGUAAAGGGUUCUAUGAGGAAACUGGACUUUUGAAGGCUAUUAUUAAUAAGAAAAUAACUUUCUAGAUUAUCAAUAACCCUACAUCCCUUUUGAGAUAAUUUUUCUAAGAGAGGGACAACAAAUUCAUCUUUAUAUGUUCUAUUAUUGCAUUUUAUUCGUUUAAAUAACUUGAUGUAUUUCCAAAUAAUACUAACAGGUGUAGUUCUGUUAAAAGUAUUACAGAUAUUCGCCCAACCAUUGCGUUUAUGUUCUGAAAUAGUCUUUUUCUUAACAGCAACAAGUCUUUUGUAAUUAAUGUAAUUAUCAAUGGUUGGGUCCCUUCUGUACAGUUUUAAAGCUUCAUAAGUUUUAAUAACAUUCUGUUCACAUGUGUCACUCCACCAAGGUGCUGGAGGUUUGCAACGAUAGUUAUUUGUUUUGACAAACUUUGGCACAGUAUCCCUCUUAAGUGUAUCAAGCCUUUCGAUAAAUUCGUCAUAAGACUGUAAUGGAUUCUCAUUAUUAACUUCAAAAUUAGAAAAAGCAGUUAUAGAUAGCUCAUUGUAUUUCGUCCAAUCUGUCUUGUUGUAUAAGAAUUUUUCAAUGGGAGGAUUAAUUUGAUAUCUAUCAACAGACAAUAAAACACGAGUAAGCGUAGGAAAAUGAUAGCUCCCCAUACAAUCAUCAUGCACCCACCAUUCGCAUAGUGGAGUGAUUGCAGCACUACAAAAGCUAACAUCAAUAGCUGAUGGAUUUCGGUUAGGAUAAUUAAUAGUAGUGAAGCUACCAUUAUUAAGGACACAUAGAUCAAAUUCAUCAAUUAAAUCGUAUAACUGGUGACCCCGACUUUUCGUGGUCAUACACCCAAAUGCAACAUGGUGAGCAUUGAAAUCACCAGCCACAUAUAUUGGCUUAGGCAAAUUUCUAAUUAUAUCACGUAGUUUACUUAUUCUGAAGUUACCAUUCGAGGGAGGGCAAUAUACACAUAAAAUCGUUAAUUGGUUACCACUUACAUAUAAUGAUAACGCCACAGUCUGAAUGUCUUGGUAAAAUCUGGUUUGAAUAAUAUUAUAUUUAAAAUACGGUUUGAUCAAAAUUGCUACUCCACCGUGCUCAUUUUGUGCAUUAUGAUAGUGGGAAUUAUAUCCCGAAAUUUUAAGAUGCUGAGUAUCUUUCAGCCAAGUUUCAUUAAGUAAACAGAUAUCAACAUUUUGCUCAACUAAAAAUUUAGACAAUAAGGGUUUUUUACUAUAUAUACUUUGAAUAUUGUACUGAGCUAUACAUAACUGCUGAAUGUUCUGUACUGCACUGUCCAUUAAUGUGACAGAUUUUUUAAAAGUAAGUCUUUAAUGAGCAGUGUAGUCACAGGUUCAUUAUCUGUUUUAUUACCCAAUUCCACUAAAGUUUGGACCAUUGCCAUUAGAAUAUUAUUAUUGUUUGCAAUUUGAGCCUUAAGUUGAGUUUGGUUCAAGUUGGGUUCAGGCACUGUUUUAUUUACAUUAUUUACAAUUUUUACAUUUUUAUUUGAUUUAUGUAUAUUUUGGCUUAUUGAUGGUAGGGUCUUAACAAUGCUGCUCGACUGUGCAGGUAAAGAUGGAAAAUCAGAUGACGUAAGUGUAUUAGCCACAGAGGCAUAAGUAAUUUUACCCUUUUUUUCAAGUAUUUUUUUCAUUUUUAUUGGGCAAGAUUUGGAAAUGGCCAGGUGAGGGCCACUGCAAUUGACACAACACAGGUUCUCUUUUUGAUCGCAAUCUCUGAAAUUAUGUUCUCCGGCACAUAUUGAGCAACGUUGUUUACCGUUACAAAUUUUCGCAGGAUGGUUGAACUUGAAGCACCGGAAGCAUUGCUGCAACGGCGGGACAUAUUCAAACACCCUGAACGAAAAUAGGUCAUAUUGGAUGUUGUCAGGCAGAACAUUUGACAAGAAAGUUAUACUGACAGUUUCGAGACCUACAGUACUUUGACCGACUUUUUUCGUGAAUCUUCGCACUGAAAUAAUUUCAUAGAUCGAAGACAGUUUAGUAUAUAAAUCCUUGUUCGAAAUGUUGGUAGGCACAUAUCGGAUGAUUCCAAUUUUUUCUAUCUGCGCUGCAGGAAUGUGCGCCUUUAAGUUGUGCUUUGUUAAAAAGUCUGUAUUUGUGAUAAAAUUAUUUGCAGUGUUGUAUUGUUUAAAAACAGCCGCAAUUUUAUUCGCAUUGACUCUAUGUAAAGCUACCACACCUUUCACCUCCGAAGUAAAAAUAUGAUUUAAGUAAACUGGGCUUUUAUUUCCAAGUUUAACCUGUUGGUCCUUGCUUUCUACAAAAACUUUGAAGUCCGUAUUUGUACAAUGUUCAGGAUAAAGUCUCAGAUAACCUGGCUUAAAAAACGGAAUAAAGUCAUCCUCACCGCCGCCUACUUCAG